GAUGAACGCUGGCGGCGUGCCUAAUACAUGCAAGUCGAGCGAACAGUUGAGGAGCUUGCUCCUCUGACGUUAGCGGCGGACGGGUGAGUAACACGUGGAUAACCUACCUAUAAGACUGGGAUAACUUCGGGAAACCGGAGCUAAUACCGGAUAAUAUAUUGAACCGCAUGGUUCAAUAGUGAAAGACGGUUUUGCUGGCACUUAUAGAUGGAUCCGCGCCGCAUUAGCGAGUUGGUAAGGUAACGGCUUACCAAGGCAACGAUGCGUAGCCGACCUGAGAGGGUGAUCGGCCACACUGGAACGGAGACACCGUCCAGACGCCUACGGGAGGCAGCAGUAGGGAAUCUUCCGCAAUGGGCGAAAGCCUGACGGAGCAACGCCGCGUGAGUUAUGAAGGUCUUCGGAUCGUAAAACUCUGUUAUUAGGGAAGAACAAAUGUGUAAGUAACUAUGCACGUCUUGACGGUACCUAAUCAGAAAGCCACGGCUAACUACGUG
This 497-nucleotide ribosomal RNA is filed under the name uncultured bacterium. Its description in RNAcentral is "partial 16S ribosomal RNA". It matches the Rfam family "Bacterial small subunit ribosomal RNA", at positions 28 to 507 of the family's 1533-position model. The record is from RNAcentral.